UACGGAGGGUCCAAGCGUUAUCCGGAAUCAUUGGGCUUAAAGGGUCCGUAGGCUGUUUUGUAAGUCAGUGGUGAAAGCCCAUCGCUCAACGGUGGAACGGCCAUUGAUACUGCAAGACUUGAAUUAUUGGGAAGUAACUAGAAUAUGUAGUGUAGCGGUGAAAUGCUUAGAGAUUACAUGGAAUACCAAUUGCGAAGGCAGGUUACUACCAAUAUAUUGACGCUGAUGGACGAAAGCGUGGGGAGCGAACAGG
Molecule: ribosomal RNA, 253 nt
Filed under: uncultured bacterium
Lineage: Bacteria
Description: partial 16S ribosomal RNA
Rfam family: Bacterial small subunit ribosomal RNA
Source: RNAcentral